RNAcentral lists this ribosomal RNA (497 nucleotides) under uncultured bacterium. Its description in RNAcentral is "partial 16S ribosomal RNA". It matches the Rfam family "Bacterial small subunit ribosomal RNA", at positions 28 to 507 of the family's 1533-position model. The record is from RNAcentral.
GAUGAACGCUGGCGGCGUGCCUAAUACAUGCAAGUCGAGCGAACGGACGAGAAGCUUGCUUCUCUGAUGUUAGCGGCGGACGGGUGGGUAACACGUGGAUAACCUACCUAUAAGACUGGGAUAACUUCGGGAAACCGGAGCUAAUACCGGAUAAUAUUUUGAACCGCAUGGUUCAAAAGUAAAAGACGGUCUUGCUGUCACUUAUAGAUGGAUCCGCGCUGCAUUAGCUAGUUGGUAAGGUAACGGCUUACCAAGGCAACGAUGCAUAGCCGACCUGAGAGGGUGAUCGGCCACACUGGAACUGAGACACGGUCCAGACUCCUACGGGAGGCAGCAGUAGGGAAUCUUCCGCAAAGGGCGAAAGCCUGACGGAGCAACGCCGCGUGAGUGAUGGAGGUCUUCGGAUCGUAAAACUCUGUUAUUAGGGAAGAACAUAUGUGUAAGUAACUGUGCACAUCUUGACGGUACCUAAUCAGAAAGCCACGGCUAACUACGUG